GUCGAACGCUGGCGGCGUGCUUAACACAUGCAAGUCGAACGGAAAGGCCCUGCUUUUGUGGGGUGCUCGAGUGGCGAACGGGUGAGUAACACGUGAGUAACCUGCCCUUGACUUUGGGAUAACUUCAGGAAACUGGGGCUAAUACCGGAUAGGAGCUCCUGCUGCAUGGUGGGGGUUGGAAAGUUUCGGCGGUUGGGGAUGGACUCGCGGCUUAUCAGCUUGUUGGUGGGGUAGUGGCUUACCAAGGCUUUGACGGGUAGCCGGCCUGAGAGGGUGACCGGCCACAUUGGGACUGAGAUACGGCCCAGACUCCUACGGGAGGCAGCAGUGGGGAAUAUUGCACAAUGGGCGGAAGCCUGAUGCAGCAACGCCGCGUGCGGGAUGACGGCCUUCGGGUUGUAAACCGCUUUCGCCUGUGACGAAGCGUGAGUGACGGUAAUGGGUAAAGAAGCACCGGCUAACUACGUGCCAGCAGCCGCGGUGAUACGUAGGGUGCGAGCGUUGUCCGGAUUUAUUGGGCGUAAAGGGCUCGUAGGUGGUUGAUCGCGUCGGAAGUGUAAUCUUGGGGCUUAACCCUGAGCGUGCUUUCGAUACGGGUUGACUUGAGGAAGGUAGGGGAGAAUGGAAUUCCUGGUGGAGCGGUGGAAUGCGCAGAUAUCAGGAGGAACACCAGUGGCGAAGGCGGUUCUCUGGGCCUUUCCUGACGCUGAGGAGCGAAAGCGUGGGGAGCGAACAGGCUUAGAUACCCUGGUAGUCCACGCUGUAAACGGUGGGUACUAGGUGUGGGGUCCAUUCCACGGGUUCCGUGCCGUAGCUAACGCUUUAAGUACCCCGCCUGGGGAGUACGGCCGCAAGGCUAAAACUCAAAGGAAUUGACGGGGCCCCGCACAAGCGGCGGAGCAUGCGGAUUAAUUCGAUGCAACGCGUAGAACCUUACCUGGGUUUGACAUGGAUCGGGAGUGCUCAGAGAUGGGUGUGCCUCUUUUGGGGUCGGUUCACAGGUGGUGCAUGCCUGUCGUCAGCUCGUGUCGUGAGAUGUUGGGUUAAGUCCCGCAACGAGCGCAACCCUUGUUCACUGUUGCCAGCACGUUAUGGUGGGGACUCAGUGGAGACCGCCGGGGUCAACUCGGAGGAAGGUGGGGAUGACGUCAAGUCAUCAUGCCCCUUAUGUCCAGGGCUUCACGCAUGCUACAAUGGCUGGUACAGAGAGUGGCGAGCCUGUGAGGGUGAGCGAAUCUCGGAAAGCCGGUCUCAGUUCGGAUUGGGGUCUGCAACUCGACCUCAUGCAGUCGGAGUCGCUAGUAAUCGCAGAUCAGCAACGCUGCGGGAAAGGGUUCCCGGGGC
RNAcentral lists this ribosomal RNA (1344 nucleotides) under uncultured bacterium. Its description in RNAcentral is "partial 16S ribosomal RNA". It matches the Rfam family "Bacterial small subunit ribosomal RNA", at positions 28 to 1380 of the family's 1533-position model. The record is from RNAcentral.